GACGAACGCUGGCGGCGUGCUUAACACAUGCAAGUCGAACGGACAGGCCCUGCUUGCAGGGUUCUCGAGUGGCGAACGGGUGAGUAACACGUGGGUGAUUUGCCCUGCACUUCGGGAUAAGCCUGGGAAACUGGGUCUAAUACCGGAUAGGAGCCAUUUUUAGUGUGAUGGUUGGAAAGUUUUUUGGGUGUUGGAUGAGCUCGCGGCCUAUCAGCUUGUUGGUGGGGUAAUGGCCUACCAAGGCGGCGGCGGGAAGCCGGCCUGAGGGGGUGGACGGCCACAUUGGGACUGAGAGGCGGCCCAGAUUCCUACGGUAGGCAGCUGUGGGGAAGCUUGCACAAUGGGCGCCAGCCGGAUGCAGCGACGCUGCGUGUCGGAUGACGGUCUUCUGGUUGUAAACUCCUUUCGCUAGUGACGAAGCUUUUCUUGACGGUACCUAGACAAGAAGCACCGGCUAACUACGUG
RNAcentral lists this ribosomal RNA (465 nucleotides) under uncultured bacterium. RNAcentral describes it as "partial 16S ribosomal RNA". It matches the Rfam family "Bacterial small subunit ribosomal RNA", at positions 28 to 507 of the family's 1533-position model. The record is from RNAcentral.